This is a non-coding RNA of Caenorhabditis elegans, 192 nucleotides long. The record is from Ensembl. Lineage: Eukaryota; Metazoa; Nematoda; Chromadorea; Rhabditida; Rhabditidae.
UUUUAGGCUUAGGCUUAGGCUUAGGCUUAGGCUUAGGCUUAGGCUUAGGCUUAGGCUUAGGCUUAGGCUUAGGCUUAGGCUUAGGCUUAGGCUUAGGCUUAGGCUUAGGCUUAGGCUUAGGCUUAGGCUUAGGCUUAGGCUUAGGCUUAGGCUUAGGCUUAGGCUGAGACUUAGGCUUAGGCUUAGGCUUAG